RNAcentral lists this ribosomal RNA (253 nucleotides) under uncultured Blautia sp. RNAcentral's name for it is "partial 16S ribosomal RNA". It matches the Rfam family "Bacterial small subunit ribosomal RNA", at positions 524 to 776 of the family's 1533-position model. Lineage: Bacteria; Bacillati; Bacillota; Clostridia; Lachnospirales; Lachnospiraceae. The record is from RNAcentral.
UACGUAGGUGGCAAGCGUUGUCCGGAUUUAUUGGGCGUAAAGCGAGCGCAGGCGGAAUUGCAAGUCUGAUGUGAAAAUCCGGGGCCCAACCCCGGAACUGCAUUGGAAACUGUAUUUCUAGAGUGUCGGAGAGGCAAGUGGAAUUCCUGGUGUAGCGGUGAAAUGCGUAGAUAUCAGGAGGAACACCAGUGGCGAAGGCGGCUUGCUGGAUCGUGACUGACGUUGAGGCUCGAAAGCGUGGGGAGCAAACAGG